This 1477-nucleotide ribosomal RNA is filed under the name uncultured bacterium. RNAcentral's name for it is "bacterial SSU rRNA". It matches the Rfam family "Bacterial small subunit ribosomal RNA". The record is from RNAcentral.
GAUUGAACGCUGGCGGCAGGCCUAACACAUGCAAGUCGAGCGGUAGCACAGAGAGCUUGCUCUCGGGUGACGAGCGGCGGACGGGUGAGUAAUGUCUGGGAAACUGCCUGAUGGAGGGGGAUAACUACUGGAAACGGUAGCUAAUACCGCAUAAUGUCGCAAGACCAAAGUGGGGGACCUUCGGGCCUCAUGCCAUCAGAUGUGCCCAGAUGGGAUUAGCUAGUAGGUGGGGUAACGGCUCACCUAGGCGACGAUCCCUAGCUGGUCUGAGAGGAUGACCAGCCACACUGGAACUGAGACACGGUCCAGACUCCUACGGGAGGCAGCAGUGGGGAAUAUUGCACAAUGGGCGCAAGCCUGAUGCAGCCAUGCCGCGUGUGUGAAGAAGGCCUUCGGGUUGUAAAGCACUUUCAGCGGGGAGGAAGGCGUUAAGGUUAAUAACCUUGGCGAUUGACGUUACCCGCAGAAGAAGCACCGGCUAACUCCGUGCCAGCAGCCGCGGUAAUACGGAGGGUGCAAGCGUUAAUCGGAAUUACUGGGCGUAAAGCGCACGCAGGCGGUCUGUCAAGUCGGAUGUGAAAUCCCCGGGCUCAACCUGGGAACUGCAUUCGAAACUGGCAGGCUAGAGUCUUGUAGAGGGGGGUAGAAUUCCAGGUGUAGCGGUGAAAUGCGUAGAGAUCUGGAGGAAUACCGGUGGCGAAGGCGGCCCCCUGGACAAAGACUGACGCUCAGGUGCGAAAGCGUGGGGAGCAAACAGGAUUAGAUACCCUGGUAGUCCACGCCGUAAACGAUGUCGAUUUGGAGGUUGUGCCCUUGAGGCGUGGCUUCCGGAGCUAACGCGUUAAAUCGACCGCCUGGGGAGUACGGCCGCAAGGUUAAAACUCAAAUGAAUUGACGGGGGCCCGCACAAGCGGUGGAGCAUGUGGUUUAAUUCGAUGCAACGCGAAGAACCUUACCUGGUCUUGACAUCCACAGAACUUUCCAGAGAUGGAUUGGUGCCUUCGGGAACUGUGAGACAGGUGCUGCAUGGCUGUCGUCAGCUCGUGUUGUGAAAUGUUGGGUUAAGUCCCGCAACGAGCGCAACCCUUAUCCUUUGUUGCCAGCGGUUCGGCCGGGAACUCAAAGGAGACUGCCAGUGAUAAACUGGAGGAAGGUGGGGAUGACGUCAAGUCAUCAUGGCCCUUGCGACCAGGGCUACACACGUGCUUCAAUGGCAUAUACAAAGAGAAGCGACCUCGCGAGAGCAAGCGGACCUCAUAAAGUAUGUCGUAGUCCGGAUUGGAGUCUGCAACUCGACUCCAUGAAGUCGGAAUCGCUAGUAAUCGUAGAUCAGAAUGCUACGGUGAAUACGUUCCCGGGCCUUGUACACACCGCCCGUCACACCAUGGGAGUGGGUUGCAAAAGAAGUAGGUAGCUUAACCUUCGGGAGGGCGCUUACCACUUUGUGAUUCAUGACUGGGGUGAAGUCGUAACAAGG